Caenorhabditis elegans is the source of this 202-nucleotide non-coding RNA. The record is from Ensembl. Lineage: Eukaryota; Metazoa; Nematoda; Chromadorea; Rhabditida; Rhabditidae.
AAGUAACAGAAAAACCAGUGGAAAAUUGAUUUUCGAAACAAAAUUCCCGCUGGCUAAACAACACGCGAUGCGGCAUUUCGGAGCAUCGUUACACAUUUAUUUUUGUUUUUUUCUUUUUUCUUCUCAUUUCUUUCAAUUUCUCCCGUUUCGCAUCGUUUUGGAGGGAAUUUCAAAUGAAAUUUGAUAGAAAUGGCGAUGAAAU